UUUUAGCCCCGAUGAUCCCGAAGCUUCGGGAGAAAUCCUUUUCUUUUUGCUGCCAAAAAGAAAAGAUUAGAGUGAACAGCGGGAAACAGC
Molecule: small RNA, 90 nt
Filed under: Flavobacterium sp. 11
Lineage: Bacteria; Pseudomonadati; Bacteroidota; Flavobacteriia; Flavobacteriales; Flavobacteriaceae
Also listed under: 1 other name
Description: Flavo-1 RNA
Rfam family: Flavo-1 RNA
Source: RNAcentral